CCUUCCUUCUGCACUACACAUCAGUCCGGCGGCUGCGACGGAGUUCAGCAGCGGAGGCUCUCCGAAUCGGCACAUCAACCAUUGAGCUCUCGCAAUAAACCCUAGCUAGCUCGGUGGAUGGAUCUAGGUUGAUGAUGAUGGCGCAGCCCACGCGGUGGAUGCUGGCUCCUCUGCUUCGACUGGAUCAAAGAAAGGGGCACUGAAUCUGUUGGGAAUUUGGUUAUCAAAGGAACAAGUAACAUCGGGCAUUCAAUCGAUACAC
Long non-coding RNA from Lolium rigidum, 262 nucleotides. RefSeq lists it as uncharacterized. Lineage: Eukaryota; Viridiplantae; Streptophyta; Magnoliopsida; Poales; Poaceae. The transcript has 3 exons. The record is from RefSeq and is a predicted model, not a curated record.